GACGAACGCUGGCGGCGUGCCUAAUACAUGCAAGUUGAGCGCUGAAGGUUGGUACUUGUACCAACUGGAUGAGCAGCGAACGGGUGAGUAACGCGUGGGGAAUCUGCCUUUGAGCGGGGGACAACAUUUGGAAACGAAUGCUAAUACCGCAUAAAAACUUUAAACACAAGUUUUAAGUUUGAAAGAUGCAAUUGCAUCACUCAAAGAUGAUCCCGCGUUGUAUUAGCUAGUUGGUGAGGUAAAGGCUCACCAAGGCGAUGAUACAUAGCCGACCUGAGAGGGUGAUCGGCCACAUUGGGACUGAGACACGGCCCAAACUCCUACGGGAGGCAGCAGUAGGGAAUCUUCGGCAAUGGACGAAAGUCUGACCGAGCAACGCCGCGUGAGUGAAGAAGGUGUUCGGAUCGUAAAACUCUGUUGGUAGAGAAGAACGUUGGUGAGAGUGGAAAGCUCAUCAAGUGACGGUAACUACCAGAAAGGGACGGCUAACUACGUG
Molecule: ribosomal RNA, 496 nt
Filed under: uncultured bacterium
Lineage: Bacteria
Description: partial 16S ribosomal RNA
Rfam family: Bacterial small subunit ribosomal RNA
Source: RNAcentral